RNAcentral lists this ribosomal RNA (449 nucleotides) under uncultured bacterium. RNAcentral's name for it is "bacterial SSU rRNA". It matches the Rfam family "Bacterial small subunit ribosomal RNA", at positions 335 to 799 of the family's 1533-position model. The record is from RNAcentral.
ACUCCUACGGGAGGCAGCAGUGGGGAAUCUUGGACAAUGGGGGCAACCCUGAUCCAGCCAUGCCGCGUGAGUGAUGAAGGCCCUAGGGUCGUAAAGCUCUUUCGCCAGAGAUGAUAAUGACAGUAUCUGGUAAAGAAACCCCGGCUAACUCCGUGCCAGCAGCCGCGGUAAUACGGAGGGGGUUAGCGUUGUUCGGAAUUACUGGGGCGUAAAGCGCACGUAGGCGGAUUGGAAAGUUAGAGGUGAAAUCCCGGGGCUCAACCCCGGAACUGCCUUUAAAACUCCCAGUCUUGAGUUCGAGAGAGGUGAGUGGAAUUCCGAGUGUAGAGGUGAAAUUCGUAGAUAUUCGGAGGAACACCAGUGGCGAAGGCGGCUCACUGGCUCGAUACUGACGCUGAGGUGCGAAAGUGUGGGGAGCAAACAGGAUUAGAUACCCUGGUAGGAUAGCG